UACGGGGGGGGCAAGCGUUGUUCGGAAUUACUGGGCGUAAAGGGCUUGUAGGUGGCCAACUAAGUCAGACGUGAAAUCCCUCGGCUUAACCGGGGAACUGCGUCUGAUACUGGAUGGCUUGAGUUCGGGAGAGGGAUGCGGAAUUCCAGGUGUAGCGUUGAAAUGCGUAGAUAUCUGGAGGAACACCGGUGGCGAAGGCGGCAUCCUGGACCGAUACUGACGCUGAGGAGCGAAAGCCAGGGGAGCAAACGGG
RNAcentral lists this ribosomal RNA (253 nucleotides) under uncultured bacterium. Its description in RNAcentral is "partial 16S ribosomal RNA". It matches the Rfam family "Bacterial small subunit ribosomal RNA", at positions 524 to 776 of the family's 1533-position model. The record is from RNAcentral.